Long non-coding RNA from Eptesicus fuscus (big brown bat), 1135 nucleotides. RefSeq lists it as uncharacterized. NCBI's taxonomy places the organism in Eukaryota, Metazoa, Chordata, Mammalia, Chiroptera, Vespertilionidae. The transcript has 4 exons. The record is from RefSeq and is a predicted model, not a curated record.
UGGCGCGCGUGCCUGCUGGCGGCCCCGCGGCGGAGCGGGCGUGCCCGGCGGGGCGUCCGUGGCCGCGCCGGGAGCCCGUGGCGGGCUUGGAACCGCGCGCGGUCGCCGAGUGCAGCCGCCCUCGGGCCCGCAGCCCCGACCGCGCCCCGGGGAAGUAGGUCCACGCAGAGGCUUGCAGCAGCCGCGCCGCUAGCAGCGCCUAGAGGCUGGCAGUGCCCGGGGCCGGCGGGCCUCUGGCCUGGGUUCGCCCGCGCCCUCGCGCGCCUCUGCCACGCAGAGCUGGCAUCCGCUCCCCCCAGCCCACCUCCCGCCCCAGGACCCCGCGCAGGCCCCUGGCGCUGGGGCGCUGCAGGAAGGGCGUGGCGCCAGCUUCCCCAAGGCCGGCACGGCCGCGGCGCACGACUCCCCCGUAGCCCGCCCGGGACCUAAGUAGGGCGUUUCCCUGAGGAAGUAGCUGCUGGAAUCCUGGCAGCCACGUGCCAGCGGUCACACCUUGGGCCUCAGCUCCUUUAUCUCCAAAAUGAGGCUCAUAACCCGCCUCCUAGGAGCGUUCGGAAAACUCAGACCUAUGCACAGUAAGCACGCAGGUCAACCUGGCACUUGGAAGGACCACACAAAACCUGGGUAACCACUAUUUCAACUUCUGUCACCAAAGACUCGCUCUCCUGUUUGUGGCUGUCAUGUUCCUGGGUUUAUGGUCCCUCCAGUCCAGUCACGCCCGCUUCUUGCCGUUCCUGGAACUGUCACCUCCCACCCAGGGCCUUCGCACCUGCUGCUCUGCCCCCCAGUGGUUUUAAGAGAGAACAUUGUUCCUGGAAGUAACCAAGUGCCCGGAGUGCCUCGGGAGCCGGGAGCGCCCAGCUCUCUCCCCUCGGAGGCUCGGCUUGUGCGGACCUCACUGGGGCCUGUCUCACGGAGAUGCCCGAGGACGAGGACGAGGACGUUAACUUCUAAAGAAGCCGCAGGAGUCAGAGAGGUGGAGCCUCCGGACCACCUGGGUUUGAACCUCAGCCAGAUUUGGCAAUCAGCUGCAAAGCCACGGUGUGUGUUGAUCAGAGAGGUGAGGUCUUAUUGGUCUGCUUCUUGCAUGGUGGGAAGUACCACUAGACACAACUGUCCUGGGUUAUACCUUACA